AACCAAUGAGAAUCAAUGAGAUUCCUUUGUUAGUUCUUAGCUUGACACGUGUACUCAAUUUUACAGGAAACACGUCGGCUAACAGCUUAAAAGAGAAAUUUAAGUUGACAUUGUUGAUGGUGGGUUUUAGGCUCGGACCCAAACCUCCUGUCAAGGCCCAUCAUCUCCACGGCCUAGCACUCUUCAAAGAUAAACUGAGGCCCGUUUAAGGCCCGUUAGAUGCUCCAUCGAUUAGAAGGGCAAAAAAGAUAUUUCACACGCACAGGGUACCCUACCCCUGUACCCUAUAAAUAGAAAAAAAGAAUGAUUGGAAAGGGGGCCCGAAAUAACCGCUUUUACAGAGAAUAUCGUACAACCGUCAGAGCACUUUGCGGCUCGGCUCGUAUACUCAGUUUUUAGCUCGUCUAUUUUUGUAGUCGUCGGCUCGUUCUUUUAAUAAGAGAUUCUUCUUUCACCCUUAAUAUUCCGAAUACGUACUUGUGUGAUUUUGAGGAUCAACAGUUGGCGCGCCAGGUAGGGGAAAAGCUCGAAGAUUUCUCUAAAAACUACGAACCGACGAAACAGUAAAGAUGACGGACGCAUUCCACAACGCACUCGGCGCAAGUGCCUCCAGCUCGGGAGGAGAAGCAUGCACGCCCGCAGCCGCACCGCCUUCGCUACCCCCGACGCCGGAAGGACCAACCGCGGCAGCUACAGGACCGCACCCAGCUCCACUUCCUGACGCUCAGUUAACGCCCUCGAACGGACGUAACGCGGCGAACCCGCAUGUCAACGCCAGAGCCGGGAUUAACCAAAGGAGUCAGGGGCGCAGCGAACCAGACGACCUACUCCAAAACAUUCUCACACAUCUGAGCCAGCAAGAGGCAAGAACGAACGUGCGACUCGAGUCUUUGGCAGCAGCCCAGGCUUGCGCUUAGGACGAAAUCAACCGCCUAAACGCAAGUCAGGCACAGGGUGUCCGACCCGCGCAAAGAAACCAAGGAUCGGCUCAGCAAAUUCAACAUGUUGCUUCGUCAAGCGAAAGUGCCCAGGGCCAAGAGCUCGCCGAACUACGACGCAUUGUUCAAGACAUGAACGCAAAGGUUCACAAGGCCACAAGCGCCGCACCAGAACUUGACCGCAUCCUGGAAGAAACGCAGCAAACUCCCUUCACUCGGAGAAAAACCAGCGUCUCACUCCGAGGACGCCAGAAGAUAAAGCUCGAGUCCUACAGCGGGAAGGGUGAUCCAAAAGAAUUCUUGACGUCGUUUAGCAUUGCAAUCAACCGCGCCGAACUAACCGACGAGAACUUCGAAGCAGGACAAUGCCAGAUUUUCACCGAACAUCUAACCGGCGCCGCCCUCAACUGGUUUUCGAAACUUAAGCCGAACUCGAUCAGCAGCUAUCGCGAACUGUCCGUAACGUUCCUCAAGCAUUACUCGCCACUCAUACAGAACCAGACAUCGAACGCCGACCUCUGGUCCCUCACGCAAGGACCCACAGAGUCCCUUAGAAUAUUUAUCGAUCGCUUUAAAGACAUCAUUACCCGAAUCGUUGUUCCAGACAAAGCCGCGAUCGUAGCUCUGCGCAACGCGGUGUGGAAUGAUUCAAGAUUUAGGGACGACAUCACGCUGUACGUACCAAACACGCUCGAGGACGCGCUCCAUAGAGCAAUAAGGUACAUCGAGUUAGAAGAGGAGCAGCUCGUCCUCUCACGAAAGCACGGUAUAACCAAGACAUCAGCUCCAAAAGAAGCUCCUGCUGUAAAACCAGCAGAGCCAAGACAACAUCUAGACCGCAACAUAAGCCAAGGUAGAAAGCCGGCCACGUUUGCCAUAAAUGGUGAAGGCUCGGCGCCCAAACCUAGGAAUAAAUGGGUGAGAGACACCGACGACGUUGUAGCAGGGAUAGUGUAUUGCGAGUAUCAUAAAAGCAAGGCCCACGCAACGGAGGAUUGCCGCUACCUGCAAGGGCUCCUCAUGGCUAAGUACAAAAGCGGGGGCAUCGCAAUCGAAUGUGACCGAGCCCAAGGGGGGAAUAAAAACCAAAGACGGAACGAGGCCACUGCUCGGCAAUUCCUCCAAGAUCGAGCCGACGGAGCAGCUGGAGGCGACGAUCAAGCAAACGAUUCGGCCAAAAGACAGCGCCAAGGCAAAGCUGUCGCCGACGCUCCCGUCGUCGUCCGACAAAUCCAUAUGAUCAUGGGCGGCCUUCAAAAUUGCAACGAUUCGGUCCGUUCAAUCAAGCAGUAUCGAAAGAAAGCCGAAAUAAUGGAGACGUGGCCAGUAGUAACGCCGAGCCAACCUUCCGAGGAAAUCGAACCCAUUUCUUUCACAAAAGAAGACCUCGUCGGAGUCGACCUCCCUCAUAAUGACCCCCUGGUCGUUGAGCUCAUCGUCAGCGAUAGCCAAAUCACGCGCGUUAUGAUCGAUACGGGCAGCUCAGUCGAUCUAAUUUUGAAAGAUACUCUCACCGCGAUGAGUGUAGCCGACCGACGUAUAAAACCGCGCUCCCGACCUUUAGCCGGAUUCGACGGGGACUUCAUCAUGUCCUUAGGCACCAUCAAACUGCCCACAUUCGUUGGUGGUACGAUCGCCUGGGUGAAAUUCGUUGUCAUCGAUAAACCGGCGAUAUACAAUGUAAUCUUGGGGACGCCGUGGCUACAUCAAAUGCAGGCCGUCGCGUCUACCUACCACCAGUGCGUCAAGUUUCCUACUCAUCAGGGAAUCUUCACUCUCAAAGGAAAUCAGCAAGUAGCGCGGACGUGUUUCCUGAUCGAACACAAGAACCGCGCCGAAAAGAAAUUAUAGCAACCAAAGAAAGAGGAGCCCGCGCCCAGCUCCGCAGUAGUAAAGGCACCGAGCAAAUCCUACGAGGAAUCAGAGCUAAGUCGAACGGAGCUUGUGAAUAUCGACGCGUCGGAUCCACUGCGAUGCGUUAGCAUCGGAGCUGAAAUUAGUCCAGAAAUCAAAGCGGCCCUUGUGGCCCUCCUCAAAGAGAAUUCGUCAACCUUCGCUUGGAGCGUUGAGGACAUGCCGGGAAUCGACCCCUCUAUAACGUCCCACGAGCUAGGCGUGGACCCGACAUUCAAACCUGUUAAGCAGAAAAGACGCAAAGCAGUAAAUGACGAAGUCAAAAAGCUACUAGGCGCCGGCUCCAUCAUCGAAGUCCGAUAUCCAGAGUGGUUGACAAAUCCCGUCGUAGUAAAAAAGAAGAACGGUAAGUGGCGGGUGUGCGUCGACUUCACCAAUCUGAACAAGGCGUGUCCAAAAGAUAGCUACCCUCUGCCGCAUAUCGACCGGCUCGUCGAGGCCACAUCAGGGAACGAACUCCUAUCGUUCAUGGACGCUUUCUCUGGAUACAACCAAAUUCUCAUGCAUAAAGACGAUCAGGAAAAGACGUCCUUCAUCACCGAUCGCGGAACGUACUACUACAAGGUGAUGCCUUUCUGUCUGAAAAAUGCCGGAGCAACGUAUCAGCGCCUCGUCAACAAAAUGUUCGCCGAACAGCUCGGCCGAACUGUCGAAGUCUACAUCGACGACAUGCUCGUUAAGUCAUUGCAAGCUGACGACCACGUUCAGAACCUCCGACAAUGCUUUGAUGUGCUAAACAAAUACCAAAUGAAGUUGAAUCCGGCCAAAUGUACGUUUGCGGUAACUUCCGGUGAGUUCCUGGGUUACGUCGUCACCAAGAGAGGGAUAGAAGCCAACCCAAAGCAAAUUCGCGCUAUACUGGAGUUACCCUCUCCCAGAAACGCCAAGGAAGUACAACGGCUAACCGGCCGGAUCACGGCCCUCAACCGAUUCAUCUCAAAGUCUACGGACAAAUGUUUGCCGUUCUACAACCUCCUAAAGCGGAGAGACAAGUUUACCUGGGACGACGUAAGCGAGAAAGCAUUCGCCGAGCUUAAGACGUAUCUGACGACGCCACCGGUACUCGCAAAACCUGAGAACGGCGAAACUUUAUUCUUAUACAUAGCUGUAUCCAGUUGGGCCGUCAGCGGGGUAUUAGUACGAGACGACCGCGGCGAACAGAGACCAAUCUUCUACGUAAGUAAAUCGCUAAUCGAGGCCGAGGUCCGCUAUCCUACAAUGGAAAAAGCCGCGCUAGCAGUCGUUACGUCGGCGAGGAAUGAUAGCCGUGCUUACAAACCAACCUAUCAAAACCGCGUUACACAGUCCAAGCCUGUCUGGAAGAAUGACCAAGUGGGCCGUCGAAAUCAGUGAAUUCGACAUCGACUUCCGGGCUCGACCAGCCAUGAAAUCUCAAGUUCUCGCUGACUUCAUCAUCGAAUUACCAGCAGUGGACCCGGACGACACCACACUAAGCACCAAUCAGACGAAUGGUACUUGGACCUUCUAUUAAGACGGCUCGUCCUCUUCGCAUGGAUCGGGUGUCGGCAUCAGGCUUGUCUCCUCAACCGGCGAAAUGUUAGAGCAGUCCUUCCGGCUACGUUUCGCGGCAAUAAAUAACGUCGCCGAAUACGAAGCACUCAUCGCCGGACUCCGACUCGCAAUUGGAAUGAACGUCCGACGACUCCGUGCCAUGAUCGAUUCACAGCUCGUAGCAAGUCAAUAUAGCGGCGACUACGAAGCAAGAAAUGAUAGAAUGGACGCAUACCUCAAGGUCGUCCAGCGUCUGUCCAAACAAUUCACAGAGUUUGAGCUAACCAAGAUACCACGAGGAGAUAAUGCUCCCACAGACGCUCUAGCAGCACUAGCCUCAACGUCCGACCCAGACCUUCGCCGCGUCAUACCAGUCGAAAGCAUCGACCGCUCCAGCAUUGAAGGGAUCGAAUCCGUCAACCUUGUGUGCAGCCGCGCCGCACCAGAUCCGAUAAGCGACCCCGACGAUUGGCGCCUCGAAAUACGCGAUUUCCUCUCAGAUGGGAUGGUUCCGGUAGACAAAUGGGAAGCACGGCGUCUACGCGCCAAAUCGUCAAAAUACACUCUGUACCGCGAACGCUUACUUCGGUACAACGCCUCCGGGGCAGUCCUCAGCUGCCUCCAUAAGGCGGACGCGGCAGAAGUCAUGAAAGAGACACACGAGGGAGCAGGUGGAAACCAUUCAGGAGGACGGUCUCUCGCACUCAAAAUCAGAAAGCUCGGCUACUACUGGCCGACGAUGAUCUUGGAUUGUAAAAACUAUGUGCUCAAGUGCGAGCAAUGCCAACGGUACGCCCCCGUCAUCCACCAGCCGACCGAACUAAUGAAAGCCGGUGCCGCGCCAUAUCCUUUCAUGCGGUGGGCCAUGGACAUCGUCGGUCCACUUCCAGCUUCGCGGCAAAAACGCUUCAUCCUCGUCAUGACUGAUUACUUCACUAACUGGGUCGAAGCUGAAUCCUAUGCAACGAUCAAAGCCAAAGACGUACAGAACUUUGUUUGGAAAUACAUCAUCUAUCGGCACGGCCUACCGUACAAAAUAAUCAUGGACAACGGCUCGCAAUUUAUUUCGUUACAGUUCGAAGCUUUCUGCGCUAGCUGGAAAAUUCGUCUGAACAAGUCAACGCCGCGUUACCCCCAAGGCAACGGUCAGGCUGAAGUAACAAAGAAGACAAUACUAGCCGGACUCAAGAAACGGCUCGAAGCCAAGAAAGGAGUCUGGGCAGACGAGCUCGACGGUGUCCUGUGGUCUUAUCGAACGACCCCGCGUAGCUCUACCGAAUGUACGCCUUUCUCCUUGGCUUAUGGAGUGGAAGCAAUGGCCCCAGCCGAGGUAGGAUGUGCGAGCCUCCGUCGCUCCAUGAUGGUACAUGAUAGAAACCUCAACGACGAGAUGAUGAGACAUAGCCUCGACGAUCUAGAAGAAAACCGCAACGUCGCACUGUGCCGAAUCCAGAAUUAUCAGCUUGCCGCUGCGAAAUAUUACAACAAGAAAGUCCAUAAUAAGCAUUUUGUCGAAGGCAACCUUGUCCUCAGAAAAGUGUUCGAAAACACGGCCGAACUCAACGCUGGGAAGCUCGGCGCGAAUUGGGAAGGUCCCUAUCAGAUAUCGAAGAUCGUCCGACCCGGAGACUACGAGCUCCUCACAAUGGCGUCGAAGUUCCCCGCACAUGGAAUUCGAUGCACUUGAAGUGAUACUACCGAGUGUCUUGGACCCGACCCAAACACGAAUAUCGACCAAGUUAUUGAGGUCGUCCUCAAUAACCCGCGCGGAACGAUCUCGACAGUAUACGCACAAGAUAAUAAACGGAAUAGAUAUCCAAUAAAGAAAAGCCAGCAGAAGUGGCAAGAGUCUUACAAAGCCGACUACGCGGCAAAUAAAAUAAAAUUAUAACAAAAAAUAAAAUCAAGAAGCAGGCUCGUCCAGAGGAGGAUCCCCGACCUGGGUGUCACCAUCACCAAUAACUUGGUCGACGGCCUCGACAUCACCAGCAACUUCAUCGUCAAUACCUUCAACCGAAGGCGCAAACUCCUCAACGACGAGAGAUCCCUUGAAGACAUUUCCGACGUCAUUCCAGCCUUCCUCUAGCUCGGCAAUGUCGAACGCAUUGACCUCGUUCUUAAGCUCUUCCGCAUCAGCUUCAAGCCUCUCCAUCACGUCCUUGGAGUUCAAGACGACCUCCCCAGUUUCAGCCAGCGCCUUCAGCAGGUCAACGCUCCCAACCGCCUGAUUAUAAUCAAGGAACUUGGGAUACGCCGCGUCCCUAGUGGUGAAAUGCCUCUGAAUCCCGUCGAGACGUUGCUGAAAUUGGUCGGCAGCCUCCUUGAGAGCCUUGGUUACGUGAAUACGGGCGUAUUCGGUGCGCCGCUCCCGAAGCCUUGCAUCUUCGGCUUGUGAUUGCUCGGCCAAGUGCUUAAAGUCAACUCGGGACUUUGACAACUCCUCAAAACAACGCUCCAGUUCUGAAAGAGCAUUAUCCCGUUCUUCCUUCAGUUUGGCGACCUCCUCGCGAAGAAGCUUUACCUCGGAGUUAGCACUUUCCAGACCUCUCGACGCCUGGUCAGCUCUCUUCGUCUCAGCCGCCAAGGCUCUCUGGUGAUCCUUCGAGGCCGUGUUCUGUUCAGAAACAACGCGGAGACGGCCCUCGUACAUAUACGCCAUCCUGUCAAUCGCGGUAACGGCCUACAGAAGUAAGAGCUCGGUCAGAAAGCAAAGCACUUAACAACAGAGUAAAGCGAAAAAAUUCUAAAACAUUACCGCAACGGUCUUCUUCGCGGCGUCAGUGAACGCCGUUCUCUCCCACAUAUCUUGGAGCUCGAAGAAAGGAGACAGACCGACGUGAAUCUUGCGGAACAGCUCCGCACAGGAUGUGGAAUCAGUCGAGAUAUGAACGUCACGCCCGUUAUAAUCAUAUCGCCACCUAUAGUCAGGGGCCCAGGCCGUCCUUUGUUUCUUGGUCGGCUCCGAACGCACCGUCUCGGACUCAUCCGCAGCCCGCUUUCUGGUCGGCUCGGCCUGAGAGUUGUCAUACAGAACGGCCUCCCUACCACCUAAGGGCACGUCACGAGAAGUCUCGGCAACAAGUAGUUUAGCCGACCGCGCCUCAGCCACCUCCUUCUCCCUUCUCUCCCUCUCUACGUCGGAUCUUACGUCCGAACGAUCGGCACCGCCAACACCAUGACCGCGUCGAUCACGACGGUCACCUUCUUCUCUCCUGUCUUGACGACCUGAAGAUCGUCGCUCACUCUCCUUAGCCUCGUAUUCCGCUAAGGAGAGACGUCUCCCUAAGGCCAUAGCCUCAUCCUCUUCCCGGGUUAUCCUCUUUGACGGCGUCACCGACGACUUCUUCUUGUAUCUUGAUGAGUAAUCACCCACCGCGUCGACAUUCAUUUUCCCCAUAAUCUUUGAAGGAGCUGACAUGUAAAAGAAAGGGAAGAGAAGAAUAUAAGAAAAAUUGUACGCACUCAUCGAACGAAUAAUGAAAUAAAGGAAAAGAUCAAGGCCAACCUGGGGUCUUGUUAACCUUCCUUGCUUUCGAAGGACCUCCUCUUCGGCUCGUUCUCUUCGGUUUUGAGGAAGGGCGACGAACAUGAUCUUCUUCGUUGGGCCAGGUAUACGGGCACAAAGCUAUAAUCUUCUUAACGUCGUCGCGAAGCUUCUCAGGAUACGGGUCGAAGAUCUUGGGACAACGAACUGCAAGAAGAAAAGAAACGAGAAAAGCGAGUUAGAUAAACUAUCAGAUGACAAGGGAUCGACCUCGGAGGGAUAAGCAAACUACCGGGUGAAAUAGUCCACCCAUGGUAAUUCGUGACGACCACGUCCCCAGCGGAAUCGUUGUCGACCUUAACGAAGAAGUACCAACGAAGCCAAUCGUUGGUCUUACUCUUCGCGCCAACAACCAACUUUGGGGUCAGCGAAGACUGAGUAUACACCAAGCCCGGCUUAGAUUUCCCAAAAUUCUUCUUCGUCGUCAAUUCCUCGUACAGGGAACAACGAGGUUCGACGCCACAUUGCUCAGCCAAACGAAUCAGGCCGUAAGCAUUCCGAAUAGCAGCCGGAGAAAGAAUGAGAGAAAUGAGGAGGAAGCGAAGUAUUUAUAAGGAGGGACGAUUGAGGAAAAACGCGUCAUCAUUGCGUCUCGAAGAACGGCGUAAUCAUCACACCUUCGCCACCCGCAACACGCGAACGACCCGUUUUUCAAUGCCUCGGGAGCGGCAGUAGACAAAUCAGAAGAGAGCGUCCAUCACACGCGCCUCGAGAGUACGCGAAGGAAGUCGAAACGAGAACGGCGAAAUGAUUGCAACCCUAGCCGCGUCAUCACUACGCACUAGGGUUGGGGGGCUACUGUUGAUGGUGGGUUUUGGGCUCGGGCCCAAACCCCCUGUCAAGGCCCAUCAUCCCCACGGCCCAGCACUCUUCAAAGAUAAACUGAGGCCCGUUUAAGGCCCGUUAGAUGCUCCACCGACUAGAAGGGCAAAAAAGAUAUUUCACACGUACAGGGUACCCUACCCCUGUACCCUAUAAAUAGAAAAAAAGAAUGAUUGGAAAGGGGGCCCGAAAUAACCGCUUUUACAGAGAAUAUCGUACAACCGUCAGAGCACUUUGCGGCUCGGCUCGUAUACUCAGUUUUUAGCUCGUCUAUUUUUGUAGUCGUCGGCUCGUUCUUUUAAUAAGAGAUUCUUCUUUCACCCUUAAUAUUCCGAAUACGUACUUGUGUGAUUUUGAGGAUCAACAGACAUGCUGGGAAGAAAAAACUGAUCAUUUAAGAACUAGUAUGCCAUUCCAACAUGUAGCCUAGUGGUUUGUGUUAAAGUGAGAAUCUUUAUAAGUACAAAGUGACAUGUUUGGAGCAAAUUGAACCAAAAGGAGGAGUUUAAUUUGUAAGAAGGACAAAGCGACAAUCUUUAUAAGUACCUCAUCAGAGGCUGAAGUGGAUUAAUUUUUAAUAAUUACAACCAAUGACAUCACUUUGUUUAGUUAAAAUUCAAACGUUUGACAUGCUUGCAAGAAUAAAUAA
RNAcentral lists this long non-coding RNA (9379 nucleotides) under Arabidopsis lyrata. RNAcentral describes it as "long non-coding RNA (ALYR_LNC001543)". Lineage: Eukaryota; Viridiplantae; Streptophyta; Magnoliopsida; Brassicales; Brassicaceae. The record is from RNAcentral.